GUAAAUAAGAAUUUAAACAUUAUAUAUUCAUUAAUAUUUAUGUUUAAAUAUCAAAAAGAUAUACUCCACAAAACUUUUAUUAUUUGUGUUUAUAAUAAAAGAUUUUAAAGAAAUUGUUUACAAAAAUUAUCAAAAUUUUCAAGAAAUUAAAAGAAUGGUUUUUAUUUAUAAUUUCAAACAUUUAUUUUUAACUUAUAAUGAGAAUUUAAAAAGUUCUUGAAAUAUUUGUGAGGGCUUCUCUUCGUUUUAUCAUUUUUUUUU
This 261-nucleotide unclassified non-coding RNA is filed under the name Hevea brasiliensis (rubber tree). The record is from RNAcentral. Lineage: Eukaryota; Viridiplantae; Streptophyta; Magnoliopsida; Malpighiales; Euphorbiaceae.